AUUGAACGCUGGCGGCAGGCUUAACACAUGCAAGUCGAGCGGAGAUGAGGUGCUUGCACCUUAUCUUAGCGGCGGACGGGUGAGUAAUGCUUAGGAAUCUGCCUAUUAGUGGGGGACAACAUCUCGAAAGGGAUGCUAAUACCGCAUACGUCCUACGGGAGAAAGCAGGGGAUCUUCGGACCUUGCGCUAAUAGAUGAGCCUAAGUCGGAUUAGCUAGUUGGUGGGGUAAAGGCCUACCAAGGCGACGAUCUGUAGCGGGCCCGAGAGGAUGAUCCGCCACACUGGGACUGAGACACGGCCCAGACUCCUACGGGAGGCAGCAGUGGGGAAUAUUGGACAAUGGGGGGAACCCUGAUCCAUCCAUGCCGCGUGUGUGAAGAAGGCCUUAUGGUUGUAAAGCACUUUAAGCGAGGAGGAGGCUCUUUUGGUUAAUACCCAAGAUGAGUGGACGUUACUCGCAGAAUAAGCACCGGCUAACUCUGUGCCAGCAGCCGCAGUAA
Molecule: ribosomal RNA, 501 nt
Filed under: uncultured bacterium
Lineage: Bacteria
Description: partial 16S ribosomal RNA
Rfam family: Bacterial small subunit ribosomal RNA
Source: RNAcentral